Molecule: transfer RNA, 63 nt
Filed under: Singapora shinshana
Lineage: Eukaryota; Metazoa; Arthropoda; Insecta; Hemiptera; Cicadellidae
Description: tRNA-Ala
Source: RNAcentral
AGGAUUAUAAUUAAUUAUAAUAUUUGAUUUGCAUUCAAAAAGUGCUAAAUCUAGCUAAUCUUA